Molecule: long non-coding RNA, 741 nt
Organism: Capsicum annuum
Lineage: Eukaryota; Viridiplantae; Streptophyta; Magnoliopsida; Solanales; Solanaceae
Exons: 2
Source: RefSeq, a predicted model, not a curated record
AACCAACCCUAAUCUCAAAUUUUUCACCCUCAAAACAAAACAGUCGCCUCCACAGCCCUCUCUCCUCUCUCACCAGAAAAUAAUAACCACAUCAAGCCACCCCGCCGCCUCUCACUAGUCGGCGGAACCCCACUUUCCUUCUCUUCUUUCUCUUUCUCCGGCGACUUCACCAAAUGAACGUCGUUUAACAAACAAAACCCCACAAUAGACACUGCUUCCACCACCGGCGAAUCCAAGCCAGCUGCACCUCUGCCAAAAUAAUACCGGAUCUCCGUAGGCAAACCCAACAAAAAAACCACUAUCGUCGCUGCUCCAUCAACGAAAACAUCUUGCUAUCUGGCACGUGAGAUUUUUAGUACUUGAAUUUCCAAAAAACCACCGUCGUAAGAUUGAUAAAUGUUAUGGGUUUUAUGGAGUGUCUCAACGUCUCCUUUUAGCUCUAGAAUUUUAAGGUCUUCCGAUCGACAGAGUUCUGCACACUGCUGAGUUAGCUGAUUCAUAGCCUUAGACUUCUGUUUAACUUCAUUAGUCUUUAGCUUUUCUAUUUCAUUACCCAUACUGUCCACUUUCAUUGAAAGCGUAGUUAGGGUUUUGAGUAUCUUUUCUAAAGCAUCAUCUUCUAUUAUAUCAGUCUGUGUAGCUUUGUCUUGAUAUGCAAUCUGGAAUAACAUUUUUGUUUGUACUAAUUACUUCAAUUGUAAGUGUAAAAUUUAAUAUAUUCAAUACUAGUCUUAAAAUUUC